CGCAAGCGUCGCUGCUCCAGCGCUACCUUCAGGGUACCCACGGAAUUCUGGGACGCCGAGGAGUUCGAAAAAGCUCGUGUCGCGUCUGGCGUCCCGUAAUCGUGUGAAUUUGUGCUCAAUUUAAUGGUUUUUCGUAAGAAACUCGAUCCCUGGAGUUAGCAUUCGCAUGUGCGUGCUCCAGUGUUGGAAAGUAGUGGUUCUACGAUGUCGAGAAUCAUCGCCGACAGAGCCAGUGUCGUGUGGGGUCGACCAGGAGAGCAGAUUCGACAGAUUCUACACAAUUUGGAAGCAUCGAGCGAUCGUGGGACAUAUCACGCCGAGACCACAUCGAGAUCCGUGAACGUCGGUCAGUAGGAAUUGUGUCGUUGUCGAUGAGGUGACGGCAACGCAACGGUGCCAAAGCUCCGGAUUUUUUUAUAAAAAUUUAUGCAGCA
Diprion similis is the source of this 434-nucleotide long non-coding RNA. RefSeq lists it as uncharacterized. The record is from RefSeq and is a predicted model, not a curated record. NCBI's taxonomy places the organism in Eukaryota, Metazoa, Arthropoda, Insecta, Hymenoptera, Diprionidae. The transcript has 3 exons.